UACGUAGGUUGCAAGCGUUGUCCGGAAUUACUGGGUGUAAAGGGCGUGUAGGCGGAGAUGCAAGUCGGGAGUGAAAUCCAUGGGCUCAACCCAUGAACUGCUUUCGAAACUGCAUCCCUUGAGUAUCGGAGAGGCAAGCGGAAUUCCUAGUGUAGCGGUGAAAUGCGUAGAUAUUAGGAGGAACACCAGUGGCGAAGGCGGCUUGCUGGACGACAACUGACGCUGAGGCGCGAAAGCGUGGGGAGCAAACAGG
This 253-nucleotide ribosomal RNA is filed under the name uncultured Eubacteriales bacterium. RNAcentral describes it as "uncultured Clostridiales bacterium partial 16S ribosomal RNA". It matches the Rfam family "Bacterial small subunit ribosomal RNA", at positions 524 to 776 of the family's 1533-position model. Lineage: Bacteria; Bacillati; Bacillota; Clostridia; Eubacteriales. The record is from RNAcentral.